AUUGAACGCUGGCGGAAUGCUUUACACAUGCAAGUCGAACGGGCUUGAGGGGCUUGCUCCUCAAGUUAGUGGCGAACGGGUGAGUAAUGCACCGGAGCGUACCUAGUCGUGGGGGAUAACGUAGCGAAAGUUACGAUAAUACCGCAUACGUCCUACGGGAGAGAGCAGGGGAUCGCAAGACCCUGCGCGAUUGGAGCGGCCGAUGUCUGAUUAGCCAGUUGGUGGGGUAAAGGCUCACCAAGGCGACGAUCAGUAUCGGGGCUGAAAGGAUGAUCCGCCACACUGGGACUGAGACACGGCCCAGACUCCUACGGGAGGCAGCAGUGGGGAAUUUUGGACAAUGGGGGCAACCCUGAUCCAGCCAUUCCGCGUGAGUGAAGAAGGCCUUCGGGUUGUAAAGCUCUUUCGGCAGGAACGAAACGGCGGGCUCUAACAUAGCCUGUUAAUGACGGUACCUGAAGAAGAAGCACCGGCUAACUACGUGCCAGCAGCCGCAGUAA
This 500-nucleotide ribosomal RNA is filed under the name uncultured bacterium. Its description in RNAcentral is "partial 16S ribosomal RNA". It matches the Rfam family "Bacterial small subunit ribosomal RNA", at positions 30 to 523 of the family's 1533-position model. The record is from RNAcentral.